This 328-nucleotide ribosomal RNA is filed under the name uncultured eukaryote. Its description in RNAcentral is "partial 18S ribosomal RNA". It matches the Rfam family "Eukaryotic small subunit ribosomal RNA", at positions 1470 to 1796 of the family's 1831-position model. The record is from RNAcentral.
CCCUUAGAUGUUCUGGGCCGCACGCGCGCUACACUGACUACUUCAACGAGUUGUUUCCUUGAUCGAAAGGUCUGGGUAAUCUUUGAAAGGUAGUCGUGAUGGGGAUAGAUCCUUGCAAUUUUUGAUCUUCAACGAGGAAUUCCUAGUAAACGCAAGUCAUCAGCUUGCAUUGAUUACGUCCCUGCCCUUUGUACACACCGCCCGUCGCGCCUACCGAUUGAAUGGUCCGGUGAAUCUUUAGGACUGUGGCUGAGGCCUUGCCUUGUGCGGGUCUGGCCGUGGGAAUUUAGUUAAACCUUACCAUUUAGAGGAAGGUGAAGUCGUANCA